This 2151-nucleotide long non-coding RNA is filed under the name Citrus x clementina. Its description in RNAcentral is "Citrus clementina (C. clementina) long non-coding RNA (CCLE_LNC004672)". The record is from RNAcentral. Lineage: Eukaryota; Viridiplantae; Streptophyta; Magnoliopsida; Sapindales; Rutaceae.
AUCACAACUAUUAUUCAAUCUAUAAUUUUUUCACUUUAAUCCCUAAAAGAUUUAUUUAUAACUUUUUAAGCAAAACUUAACCACAAGAGUUGGAAGAAUGAGUUCGCGGUCUUUUAUUACUUAAUUCCAUUUCUGAAUGGAUUACUUAUUUUACUUUUUCCACACUUGUAAGUUGAUUUUAGUCUAAAUUCAAUUUUGAUGAAUCUCCGAAAUGGGGCAUUUUGGUGGGAUUGGAGAUUUGCUAUACCCGAACAGAAUUCUGGCAAUUCGAGAUGAUCAUAUAUUAUUUUAAACAAAAUGCUAUUCAAUGUAAAUUACCAAAAAUAAUUUAAGGAAACUUUGUUGCUUGUUAUAUGGAAGUACAUUCGAGAACUUAGGCUUAUUUAAAAAAAAAAAAAUCAUGAACUUAGACGGACCGCGAAGAUGUGAAAAUAAUUCAUUCUAGUAAAUUGAAAGAUUUUGUUAUGAAAUAGUAAACCAAAUUCAUGAAUUUCAACUUUUUGAUGAUAAUGGCUAAGUUUUGAAGCCAAGAAAGAGAGCGAAAAAUUUGCCACUCACCAAUACAUUCUUAACGAAGCAAAAAGUUCAUUUGAAAGUUAACAUUUUAGCUAGUAAACUAAUAUAUCAAACAGUUAAAAAGAAAAUGACCAUUUUAUUGGAUUGGUAAAGUGUAGCUUUCAGUAAGUGGAAACGGUUGGUGAAAACGGUUACCAACUUUUUUUCCCCCCCUCUAUAUAGGACCAUGAUGAUCCAAUUAACCAAAUGCCAUUAAGACAUCACGAUCUUGCGAUUUAAGUAAAGAGAUUUUUGCAAUUCUCUUUUUUAUCACUUGGGAGUCAUUUUUUUUUUUAAAUUGCGUGAUAUUGCAUAAAAAAAUUGAUUUUCCAUAUUUAAUUUUGUUGUACCGUUUAAUUUCACUUUUGAUAUCAAAUUAGUAACACAGAAAUAUUUUCUCAAUUGCAAGUACCAUUUAACAAUCUUAUUAUUCAACAUUCAAUGUUGAAUUGACAGUAUUGUGUAGAAGAAAUAUAACUUGAUCAUGGAAAAAUGGGGCUACUUAUCUCCGUUCCAUAAGUUUGAUUUUUUUUAAAAAAAUAUUCAAAAUCUAUUAGAAUUUAUUUUACACAAAUACUACAUUUUCAAUAAUUUAACAAGUAAAAAGGGGGUUUCAAUAUUUUGAAAUAAAAAUAAACAAGUUUUUUUUUUUUGUCAUAUACAAUAUCAUCACAAAAGAGAUUAAAUAUAUUCAUUUAAUCAAUAAAUUUAAAUUAAAUAUAAUGAUAUGUUAAGCUAAGACAACAAUAUUUAAUGUUAAAUUCAUUGGAAAGUUUCACAAUUAUUAAAUGAAUACUAUUAAGAGCUCAUUUAUGAAUAAUGCAUCUAACAACACAAAACACUUCGAAUUCAAAACUAUUAAAUCAUCAGUCUCAUCCAAAUCAUUCAGUUGAUUAGACUUAGCACAUAGGCAGGAAUCAAUAAAGCUUCCACAAGGGGGGCCAAAAAAAAUAAAAAUAAAUAAAUAACGUUUCAAUAAAGCUUUAUUAAAUUAAUCAAACGGUGAGACGAAGGGAUUGUUUCUCAAAAUUGGAGGGCAUAUGUGACCAUUCAUUCUCUUGGUAGCUUCAACGUUCAAAAAAUUCAAAUCGACGGUAUGGUACCAAACCUAAUAGGUUCGGGAGACGUCGAGAGGCCCACGUGGCGCGUCUUUCUUGGGACCCACUUCACGGGCACUCGGCAGGCUUUCAAUAUUUUAUUCGCCAAGUUCGAGUCUAAAUCACAUAACGGCCUUUUAGAUAAAUUUUAUAACGGGCAAAUCAGAAGCUGCCAUCUCGUCCACAGUGAUCGGACUGAUCGCCACGUGGCAUGUUUUUGUUCAUAUUUUUGAAGCCACCGUCCGCUUAAGACUUUUGCGCGGAAAGAAUCCUUCCACCGGUCAUGCUCAGACCUACACGCACUUUAUAGCGCGUGCAUUACACCGGAAGGCGAAAGCCAAACAUGGAAUGAACUCUGGUGUAUCUGGCACUGUUACAUUGUAUUAGCUAUAUUGUAUCGUAGUGUAUUAUAUUGAGUUAUAAUGUAAUAAUAUAAUGUUUAGUAUACGAUGGACUGUAUUAUAUAUUAUAUUAUUUUGUAGUAAUACCUUAUAUAAUU